UACGUAGGUGGCAAGCGUUGUCCGGAAUUAUUGGGCGUAAAGAGCUCGUAGGCGGUGUGUCGCGUCGGCCGUGAAAACCUGCAGCUUAACUGUGGGCGUGCGGUCGAUACGGGCAUCACUGGAGUUCGGCAGGGGAGACUGGAAUUCCUGGUGUAGCGGUGAAAUGCGCAGAUAUCAGGAGGAACACCGGUGGCGAAGGCGGGUCUCUGGGCCGAUACUGACGCUGAGGAGCGAAAGCGUGGAGAGCGAACAGG
RNAcentral lists this ribosomal RNA (254 nucleotides) under uncultured bacterium. RNAcentral describes it as "partial 16S ribosomal RNA". It matches the Rfam family "Bacterial small subunit ribosomal RNA", at positions 524 to 776 of the family's 1533-position model. The record is from RNAcentral.